CUACGGGACGCUCCAGUGAGGAAUAUUGGACAAUGGGGGAAACCCUGAUCCAGCAAUGCCGCGUGAAUGAAGAAGGCCUUAGGGUUGUAAAGUUCUUUCACCCGUGAAGAUGAUGACGGUAACGGGAGAAGAAGCCCCGGCUAACUCUGUGCCAGCAGCCGCGGUAAGACAGAGGGGGCUAGCGUUGUUCGGAAUAACUGGGCGUAAAGGGUGCGUAGGCGGUUGUUUAAGUAAAGUGUUAAAGCUCUGGGCUCAACCCAGGAAUCGCAUUUUAAACUGGACAGCUAGAGUGUGGUAGAGGAAAGUGGAAUUUCUAGUGUAGAGGUGGAAUUCGUAGAUAUUAGAAGGAACACCAGAGGCGAAGGCGGCUUUCUGGACCACAACUGACGCUGAGGCACGAAAGCGUGGGGAGCAAACAGGAUUAGAUACCCUAGUAGUC
This 439-nucleotide ribosomal RNA is filed under the name uncultured bacterium. RNAcentral describes it as "partial 16S ribosomal RNA". It matches the Rfam family "Bacterial small subunit ribosomal RNA", at positions 339 to 795 of the family's 1533-position model. The record is from RNAcentral.